This is a long non-coding RNA of Pangasianodon hypophthalmus (striped catfish), 1171 nucleotides long. RefSeq lists it as uncharacterized. The record is from RefSeq and is a predicted model, not a curated record. NCBI's taxonomy places the organism in Eukaryota, Metazoa, Chordata, Actinopteri, Siluriformes, Pangasiidae. The transcript is spliced from 3 exons.
GUGGGGAUCUGUGUUUUCUUGUUGGUGGUUACCUGCACUGAUAAUCAGUGUGGGGAUCAUGUGAUCUGCAUUGUGUGGCUGCUUGUCUUGGGUCACAUGAGGCAUGUCACAUGACACAUUAGGAGAUUAUAAAGUUUGGCUUGUGGAGUUCACACUCUCUUGCUGCUGCCAUUUGCCACUGCAACUAGACUCCCGUCAUACAGGGUGACUGCUAGAACCAUGUGUUCCACUCUUCAUGAAGGACACAGGUGACUGCGUGGCAUUUGAAGGACUUGUGACCUCCUAUUGAGUUGCUGGGCUGCAGACACUCUGCACUGGAGUGCCCCAUUUUAUCUUCCUGGGUUAUUGUGCUGCGGGGAGUAUUGAACACUCUUGCAAAGUAGGCCAAUACUUCUUGUAUAUGUUGGUUUUAUGUGUGCUGGUGAAUGAAAUUGGGGAUUAAUGUGUAUUAUUUCUUUUUAAAGGGACCAGGCCAGCCACUGUUUUAUUGUCAGUGUACAAGUCUUUUUUUUUUUUUUAGUUUGUUUGUUGGUUGUUUUGUUUGCCUUUGGCUUUGUCCUUUUUUUUUUUGUUUGUUUGUCCUUGGUCUAGUGUAACCCUGCCUUGAUCAAGCCAGUGCGGUGGUCAUUGUGUUGGGGAGCUGGCUGUUCUCCUCUUUUUGUCUCUGUAUAGGUUCUCUGUACAAGGCCGGAUCUGCACCUCACUACUGCUCCUUUCAGUUGGGGGCUGCACUGAGGGGACACUAUUUUGGUGUGUACUGGUAACAUGCAACACAGUGUGGUAUUUUGUAGUGGUAAUUACUGACCUUGUGUGUGCAGUGUUUGCUACGUUGCAUGCUUGUAUGGUGUUGGGUUUGUUGUGUCUGUCUCUCUCACCAGGGCCUCCUAGGAGAGGAGCUGUGGGUGCCGUGCCGACCCGACCUUAUUAGUUUGACAAGCUCCAGCCAGUUUCCCUUCGUCUCUUUUUCACAUUAGCAAUUGUACCUAUUCAAAAUUGUAAUAAAUUUGAGCUUGUGUACAUGCCUUGUGUAAACUGUUCCUUUGCGGGCAGGGUCUAGAAUCAGCCACACUACAGAGAGAAAAGGGGUUUCCCCCGCCCAUUUUAGGGGGUGGCGUAGUCAGACAGUAAAGUACAUGUAGGUAUUCUGCGUGUCAGGUACCACAUUAGCCAG